UACGUAGGGUGCAAGCGUUAAUCGGAAUUACUGGGCGUAAAGCGUGCGCAGGCGGUGAUGUAAGACAGAUGUGAAAUCCCCGGGCUCAACCUGGGAACUGCAUUGGUGACUGGCGGGCUAGAGUAUGGCAGAGGGGGGUAGAAUUCCACGUGUAGCAGUGAAAUGCGUAGAGAUGUGGAGGAAUACCGAUGGCGAAGGCAGCCCCCUGGGCCAAUACUGACGCUCAUGCACGAAAGCGUGGGGAGCAAACAGG
This 253-nucleotide ribosomal RNA is filed under the name uncultured bacterium. RNAcentral describes it as "partial 16S ribosomal RNA". It matches the Rfam family "Bacterial small subunit ribosomal RNA", at positions 524 to 776 of the family's 1533-position model. The record is from RNAcentral.